GAUGAACGCUGGCGGCGUGCCUAAUACAUGCAAGUCGAGCGGUAAGGCUUUCACAGAUUAUUUGAACGGAUAAGUCUCUAGCAAUAGAGAUACUGUUUGAAGACAAUUUCUCCCGGCUAGGAGAAAUUGGUCGAAUAAUGUGUGAAAGUACACGAGCGGCGGACGGCUGAGUAACGCGUAGGAAUGUACCCCAAAGUGAGGAAUAACUGCCUGAAAAGGUAGCUAAUGCCGCAUAUGGUCCACGGAUUAAAGCCUUCGGGCGCUUUGGGAGCAGCCUGCGUAUGAUUAGAUAGUUGGUGAGGUAAAAGCUCACCAAGUCUACGAUCAUUAGCUGGUCUGAGAGGAUGAUCAGCCAGACUGGGACUGAGACACGGCCCAG
RNAcentral lists this ribosomal RNA (379 nucleotides) under uncultured bacterium. RNAcentral's name for it is "bacterial SSU rRNA". It matches the Rfam family "Bacterial small subunit ribosomal RNA", at positions 28 to 334 of the family's 1533-position model. The record is from RNAcentral.